GUAUUCCUGUUCUCGGUUUAAGAAGAACACAUGGUUGCACUAGUCUAUUGUACGACCUUAGGUACUUAUGGAGCUUGCACUGGAGGAGCGGGACGUUGUGGGCAGUGGAUUAUGAACGCUAUGAUUAAACAUUUCGAAUAAUUGAACUUAUGGUUUACUUGGGUUAUUUACUUAUGCUUCCGCUACUGAUACUAUGUUUGUUUUGAAACAUCAAUUGUAUUGAAUGAGGUUUUACGAACUACUUUAUUUAUGUUAUGCUAUGUUCAAUAUGAUUGGUGGCUUGAUCCUGGUCAGUCACGCUCCCAAGCGGUGAUACUC
Molecule: long non-coding RNA, 318 nt
Filed under: Helianthus annuus (common sunflower)
Lineage: Eukaryota; Viridiplantae; Streptophyta; Magnoliopsida; Asterales; Asteraceae
Description: sRNA HanXRQr2_Chr06g0270801
Source: RNAcentral